UGUUAUGUAAGGAGAAAUAUCUGAGAGUAGAAGUCCUGUGAAGCUGUAACUUGUGUCUGGGCUGCUGCACUUCAAAAGCAUGGGCAGGAAGAAAAGGUUCCAUUUUAAUUUUCUAUUUUUGCCUUGAGAGCUGGUAUUUGUACUAACUGUAUCGAUGUAUAGCCAAGCUAUAUUCUUGGACUCAGUUUUCCCAAUGGACCAGCUUCCCCCUUUGCAGCAUCAGUCUUGCAGCAGGAUCUUCGCAAGCCAGCUGCCCACGCAACCCCGUUGUCAUGUGGGCUGUAGAGUCAGCUUGUCUGAAAUCUCACAAAGUAAUUACCAGGGAACGUCUUGGGAGUGCAAAUAUAUCUGCUCAGCAUUCCUGGGAGGUUUGUGCAGGAGUUUAAGCUGAUACAGAAGACUAUUAAAAUGAAAUGCAGUAUAAUGGCAGUAUGAAAAGACUGGAAAUUUUGCAAGUGAUGGAGCAGAAACGCCAUUCAUCAUCCCAGAGUGGAGACUGUAGGCCGGGUUGGAUGUUCAGCAGCAAGCCCUCUCGUGCACUCUGUAGGGCCAUGGAAGUUGGUUGUUCCUGAAGACUGUUCAAAGACAUCUUUUCUGAGAAAUAUUUGCAUGACUUCAGAUUUGGGAACAAAGAUUUUCUCUUCUGUUGAGCCGCUGCUCUGACUUCUGCCUGAUUUGGUCAGUAUCGAUUUUGUCUUCUCAAAAUGCUCUUGGU
Centrocercus urophasianus (Greater sage-grouse) is the source of this 715-nucleotide long non-coding RNA. RefSeq lists it as uncharacterized. The transcript is spliced from 6 exons. NCBI's taxonomy places the organism in Eukaryota, Metazoa, Chordata, Aves, Galliformes, Phasianidae. The record is from RefSeq and is a predicted model, not a curated record.